RNAcentral lists this ribosomal RNA (511 nucleotides) under uncultured eukaryote. Its description in RNAcentral is "eukaryotic LSU rRNA". The stretch from base 309 to 511 matches the Rfam family "Eukaryotic large subunit ribosomal RNA", at positions 665 to 863 of the family's 3401-position model. The record is from RNAcentral.
UGAUUUGAAAAACCUUGGACGAUUUAUUUAUAGAUCUUGCAGAUUAAUGUAAAAUAAGGAAAUUAAAAAAAAGGCUGAAAAGAGAUAUGUAGUGGGCUUGUCUCAUUGCAAUAAAUAUUUUGACGUAAUUAAAGGGACUUUAUUUUUGAAUAGAAAUUACUCAGAAAUGUUGAAUUAAAAAUAAAGGUUGAUGAAAGUUAGUUAUCUUGUUAAACAAGUAAUUAAUUUUUUAAUGCUAGAGUUUAAAAGGAGUACAGAGUAAUUAAACAUUAAUUAAAUAUUUUCAUUCGGCCCGUCUUGUAACACGGACCAAGGAGUCUAACAUGUAUGCAAGUCUAAGAGAAUUUAAAACUAUAAGGCGAAAUGAAAGUGAUUAAUUUAUUAAAUUUGGGUUUAAGACUCAUUUUGAAAUAAAGACUAGUUAAAUUUAGGUUUAAUUAAGUUUAAGCAUAUAUGAUGGGACCGAAAGAUGAUGAACUAUAGCUUGAACAGAGUGAAGUCAGGGGAAACU